GACGAACCGUGCGAACGUUGUUCGGAUUCACUGGGCUUAAAGGGCGCGUAGGCGGCUUGCCAAGUCAGGGGUGAAAUCUUUCGGCUUAACCGGAAAAGUGCUUCUGAUACUGGCGGGCUGGAGGGAGGUAGGGGCAGAUGGAACUUCCGGUGGAGCGGUGAAAUGCGUAGAUAUCGGAAGGAACGCCGGUGGCGAAAGCGAUCUGCUGGACCUCUUCUGACGCUGAGGCGCGAAAGCCAGGGGAGCAAACGGG
RNAcentral lists this ribosomal RNA (253 nucleotides) under uncultured bacterium. Its description in RNAcentral is "partial 16S ribosomal RNA". It matches the Rfam family "Bacterial small subunit ribosomal RNA", at positions 524 to 776 of the family's 1533-position model. The record is from RNAcentral.